This 481-nucleotide ribosomal RNA is filed under the name uncultured bacterium. RNAcentral describes it as "bacterial SSU rRNA". It matches the Rfam family "Bacterial small subunit ribosomal RNA", at positions 28 to 507 of the family's 1533-position model. The record is from RNAcentral.
GAUGAACGCUGGCGGCGUGCUUAACACAUGCAAGUCGAACGAAGCACUUUUAUUACGAUUUCUUCGGAAUGACGAUUUAGUGACUGAGUGGCGGACGGGUGAGUAACACGUGAGCAACCUGGCUCUAAGAGGGGGACAACAGUUGGAAACGACUGCUAAUACCGCAUAACGUAUCGGGAUGGCAUCUUCCUGAUACCAAAGAUUUUAUCGCUUAGAGAUGGGCUCGCGUCUGAUUAGAUAGUUGGCGGGGUAACGGCCCACCAAGUCGACGAUCAGUAGCCGGACUGAGAGGUUGAACGGCCACAUUGGGACUGAGACACGGCCCAGACUCCUACGGGAGGCAGCAGUGGGGGAUAUUGGACAAUGGGGGCAACCCUGAUCCAGCGACGCCGCGUGAGGGAAGAAGGUUUUCGGAUUGUAAACCUCUGUUGACGGAGAAAAAAUGAUGGUAUCCGUUUAGAAAGCCACGGCUAACUACGUG